UAUCAGUCCUCCACAGCAACAAGGAAAGGUUCGGAGUCAUCCAGAUAAAAUGAGAUUCAUUGUCUUGAUCACCAUCAUCGUCACUGUAGCCCUUAUUGAUGGGGGCAGCAGCAUGACCGCGGGGCCUUCAUCACCGUGUCAGGACAAAAGUCCCAAAAGUCAUUAUGAAGAAUUUGUAAGCAGACACAUCCUUCAAGAGGAAUUUGACAGAAAUUCCCUAGAUGCUUGGAAAAGGUAUUUGAAAAAAGAACACCUCUGGUGCAGAACUACAGUGCAAUCGUUCCUCAAUAAAAGUGAUCUGGAGACCGUGAACAGAAUCUGCAGCAAAGACGGGCGACGCUUAAGCAAGACGGAUAACUAUGCAGGGAACUUGUGCAUCAGCAACUCAGAAAUGCUGAUAUAUGACAUCGCAUCCAGGAAAAGGAACAAGGAUUGUAAAAUUAAAAUUGGUGCAAAGAAAAGGGUUGUGAUUGUGGCAUGCGACAAGGUUGGAAACCAAUGUCUCCCUGUUCAUUUUCAGAAAUAUGAACACCAGAGAGCAAGCAAUAUACCCUGCAGUCCUGCAAGGAAUUUCGGUAUUGUGGUAGAAUAGCUUUCCACUGAUUAAUUUCUAAAUUCAGCAACUUUGCAUCGUGUUAGUGCUUUAACCCUUUAUUUACCAAGUAGUAACUUAUUUGGUAAUUUUGUCUGUAAAGGGGUCUUAAAUCAUACUAUAUGUGAAUGCUUUUGCCAUUCUUUUUUUUCAGAAUAACCUCAACUUUCAAUAUCUGGCAGUCAUUCUACAUCACUGUAUUGUUAUGGCAAUGCAACAACAGUUUACGUGGGGAAAAAAUAAAUUAAAAAAGGAUCAGAUUUCGAGUUAAGUGAUAUUCAACACGAACAAAAUGUAACACAACAUCAAGUUUAAAUAUGAACUGUACUAAAUAUAAUGUAUAAAAAAGUGUUUACACCUAGAUCACUUCCCUCAAGCUCAAAGAGUUGAUGAGUUACAGUAGUACAAAGCUCACGUGAUAAAUUCUAGGCAGAGUUGAGUUUUCUUUCUGUGUUCAGAUAGCAUUAGCAUUAGCAUCAGCUUGUCUUUUUUUGAAACCAUUCACAUUUUUCCCUAGCAUAAACGACGAGAUAGUUACAGUCAUUUAAACAGAGCUUGGAAAAUGGGCCUGUCAGCUGGCUAAUGGUGAAUAAAGGGUUAAUGAAUUUUUCUUUAGUUUUCUUUUGAUACAUUAUUGAAAAAAGAAUCAUAGAGAGUUUGAAAACAAAUGCAGCAUCCAAAUUUCUAGUAUUUAAUCUGUGUAAGAAACAUCUGUUUAAUGAGUACUUCUAACUAGCUGUAUAAUAUUUGGAUUUUAGAACUACUUAGUUUGUAGUUGUGUUUUUGAUAGUAAGACCACUCCCACUUGUAUCAUUCAAAAUAAAAACUGAUGUUUUUUUUAUUUGUAUCCACAAAAACAGAAUGGUGUAACCUUGUUCCUGUUUAUUAGAUAAAGUAGUGUAGCACAGCAACACAGUCUUGAUUUUGGUUUGCUUAAUUAAACUUAAUUUACAUCCAUAUUUGUUUAUAAUCACAAAACUCUACUUUAGUGGCAAUAAGUACUUGAAAAAAAAACAUAGUUACAAUCUUCUCUUGUAUGUUUA
Astatotilapia calliptera (eastern happy) is the source of this 1635-nucleotide long non-coding RNA. The record is from Ensembl. Lineage: Eukaryota; Metazoa; Chordata; Actinopteri; Cichliformes; Cichlidae.